GGGCCGGUAGCUCAGUGGCAGAGCACCUGACUUUUAAUCAGAGGGUCGUGGGUUCGAUCCCCACCCGGCUCACCA
This 75-nucleotide transfer RNA is filed under the name Candidatus Viridilinea mediisalina. RNAcentral describes it as "tRNA-Lys". It matches the Rfam family "tRNA". Rfam says of the family: Transfer RNA (tRNA) molecules are approximately 80 nucleotides in length. Their secondary structure includes four short double-helical elements and three loops (D, anti-codon, and T loops). Further hydrogen bonds mediate the characteristic L-shaped molecular structure. tRNAs have two regions of fundamental functional importance: the anti-codon, which is responsible for specific mRNA codon recognition, and the 3' end, to which the tRNAs corresponding amino acid is attached (by aminoacyl-tRNA synthetases). tRNAs cope with the degeneracy of the genetic code in two manners: having more than one tRNA (with a specific anti-codon) for a particular amino acid; and 'wobble' base-pairing, i.e. permitting non-standard base-pairing at the 3rd anti-codon position. The record is from RNAcentral. Lineage: Bacteria; Bacillati; Chloroflexota; Chloroflexia; Chloroflexales; Oscillochloridaceae.